RNAcentral lists this ribosomal RNA (271 nucleotides) under uncultured bacterium. RNAcentral describes it as "partial 16S ribosomal RNA". It matches the Rfam family "Bacterial small subunit ribosomal RNA", at positions 524 to 794 of the family's 1533-position model. The record is from RNAcentral.
UACGUAGGGUGCGAGCGUUAAUCGGAAUUACUGGGCGUAAAGCGUGCGCAGGCGGUUUUGUAAGUCAGAUGUGAAAUCCCCGGGCUCAACCUGGGAACUGCAUUUGAGACUGCAAAGCUAGAGUGUGGCAGAGGGUGGUGGAAUUUCCGGUGUAGCGGUGAAAUGCGUAGAGAUCGGAAGGAACACCAGUGGCGAAGGCGACUGCCUGGACCAAUACUGACGCUGAGGUGCGAAAGCGUGGGGAGCAAACAGGAUUAGAUACCCCUGUAGU